CUGGGGAAUGAGUCUGCUAUGAUUUUCUUGCGAUUCUGACAUGUGCCAUUAACUUAGAAAACAAAGGAACAUGAGUUUGAAAUGAUUCGUUAACUUUAACUGCUAAAAGUUUGUGAUUUUGAUAUGGUUUCUUAACUUAGUCUUUAAACUCCAUACGAGUUACACAUGAUCUGUUAACUUCUCUUUUGAGAACCAUGAGUUUUAUAUGAUUUGUUAACUUUGUCAGAAUUGGUUGUAUGAUCCUGAAAUGGUUUGUUAACUUUGUCAUCUAUGAUAGGUGAAAAUGCAAGCUUUAAAUUCACUUUAACUUGGAGAAUCAAACAACAUGCAUACAUUAAUAAAAGUCUUAUUUAAAAGAAAACAGGAAAAUUAAGUUUUAAUAAUUAAAAUGCACACAGCAUGUACAGGUAUAGUAACAAAGACUAUAUUUUUUUUAAGUUGAAUGAAAUGACAAACAAAUUUAAUACAAUAAUUCAUAUUUAAAUUAGCACACAUGUAUUCUGUUUAAAUAACGCAGCCAGGUUUUAUUAAAACUCUUUCUCUUCAUGUAAUAUUUGUGAUCCACUCCCAAUCUAACUUUGAAGCAUUAGAUUAGGAUUGGAUCACUGGUCAGUUUCAGAGUCGUAGUAACCUUGUUAUGCAAUUCUCCUGCUGGGCAGCACGCUGUAGUACAGUGGUUUGUAGCUGAUCUAGGUCAGAAUUUGAAUUCUGAUAAACAUGAUGUGCGCGUUUUCUUGUUGCCGAUUUAAAAGAAAAGCCUUUGCAUCAUAUAAGCAAUAAAAAUAAGUGCUGGACUAUUAACUCUAUACUCGCUACAGACAUUUCCAUCUUCAUGAUUAACAUCUGAGUUGCAUUCAAAUUAACAAAUUCAAAAGACCCGCCUUUGGUGAAGACAAAAUUUGUGGUGCUUACGUACACAUAUAAAGAGCUUAUAUCAGAGGAUAGACUACUUCAUUGAGAGCCCUCUCAGUGUUUGUGAUUCUGAA
This is a long non-coding RNA of Saccostrea cuccullata (small rock oyster), 986 nucleotides long. RefSeq lists it as uncharacterized. The record is from RefSeq and is a predicted model, not a curated record. The transcript is spliced from 3 exons. Lineage: Eukaryota; Metazoa; Mollusca; Bivalvia; Ostreida; Ostreidae.